Molecule: RNA transcript, 1125 nt
Organism: Mandrillus leucophaeus (drill)
Lineage: Eukaryota; Metazoa; Chordata; Mammalia; Primates; Cercopithecidae
Gene name: small ubiquitin-related modifier 1 pseudogene
Exons: 1
Source: RefSeq, a predicted model, not a curated record
GAGGUUCUGCCUACCCGAGGCCGAGGCCGCUGCUGUGCGGAGACCCCCGGGUGAAACCACCGUCAUCAUGUCUGACCAGGAGGCAAAACCUUUAACUGAGGACUUGGGGCAUAAGAAGGAAGGUGAAUAUAUUAAACUCAAAGUCAUUGGACAGGAUAGCAGUGAGAUUCACUUCAAAGUGAAAAUGACAACACAUCUCAAGAAACUCAAAGAAUCAUACUGUCAAAGACAGGGCGUUCCAAUGAAUUCACUCAGGUUUCUCUUUGAGAGUCAGAGAAUUGCUGAUAAUCAUACUCCAAAAGAACUGGGAAUGGAGGAAGAAGAUGUGAUUGAAGUUUAUCAGGAACAAACGGGGGGUCAUUCAACAGUUUAGAUAUUAUUUUUAUUUUUUUUCUUUUCCCUCAAUCCUUUUUUAUUUUUAAAAAUAGUUCUUUUGUAAUGUGGUGUUCAAAACGGAAUUGAAAACUGGCACCCAUCUCUUUGAAACAUCUGGUAAUUUGAAUUCUAGUGCUCAUUAUUCAUUAUUGUUUGUUUUCAUUGUGCUGAUUUUUGGUGAUCAAGCCUCAGUCCCCGUCAUAUUACCCUCUCCUUUUUAAAAAUUACGUGUGCACAGAGAGGCCACCUUUUUCAGGACAUUGCAUUUUCAGGCUUGUGGUGAUAAAUAAGAUUGACCAAUGCAAGUGUUCAUAAUGACUUUCCAAUUGGCCCUGAUGUUCUAGCAUGUGAUUGCUUCACUCCUGGACUGUGACUUUCAGUGGGAGAUGGAAGUUUUUCAGAGAACUGAACUGUGGAAAAAUGACCUUUCUUUAACUUGAAGCUACUUUUAAAAUUUGAGGAGGAAUAUCAGGUUGAAGUCAAGAUGACAGAUAAGGUGAGAGUAGCUAACUCCAAAGAUGGCUUCACCGAAGAAAAGGCAUUUUAAGAUUUUUUAAAAAUCUUGUCAGAAGAUCCCAGAAAAGUUCUAAUUUUCAUUAGCAAUUAAUAAAACUAUACAUGCAGAAAUGAAUACAACAAAACACUGCUCUUUUUUAUUUUAUUUGUACUUUUUGGCCUGGGAUAUGGGUUUUAAAUGGACAUUGUCUGUACCAGCUUCAUUAAAAUAAACAAUAUUUGUAAAAAUCAUAA